UACAUAGGGGGCAAGCGUUAUCCGGAAUUAUUGGGUGUAAAGGGUGCGUAGACGGAGAAACAAGUUGGUUGUGAAAUCCCUCGGCUCAACCGAGGAACUGCAACCAAAACUAUUUCCCUUGAGUGUCGGAGAGGAAAGUGGAAUUCCUAGUGUAGCGGUGAAAUGCGUAGAUAUUAGGAGGAACACCAGUGGCGAAGGCGGCCUACUGGACGGUGACUGACGCUGAGGCUCGAAAGCGUGGGGAGCAAACAGG
RNAcentral lists this ribosomal RNA (253 nucleotides) under uncultured bacterium. RNAcentral's name for it is "partial 16S ribosomal RNA". It matches the Rfam family "Bacterial small subunit ribosomal RNA", at positions 524 to 776 of the family's 1533-position model. The record is from RNAcentral.